GAUGAAGAACGUAGCGAAAUGCGAUAAGUAAUGUGAAUUGCAGAAUUCAGUGAAUCAUCGAAUCUUUGAACGCACCUUGCGCUCUUUGGUAUUCCGAAGAGCAUGCCUGUUUGAGUGUCAUGAAAAUAUCAACCUUGACUUGGGUUUUGUGCUCUAGUCUCGGCUUGGAAUUGGGUGCUUGCCGCUUAUACGAGCGGCUCACCUUAAAUGUAUUAGCUGGAUCUGUCUUUGAGACUUGGUUUGACUUGGCGUAAUAAGUAUUUCGCUAAGGACAUUCUUCGGAGUGGCCUCGUUUCUAGGACGCUUGUCCGCUUUCCAAUACAAGUUCCACCUCGUGGACAUGACUUUUUAUUAUCUGGCCUCAAAUCAGGUAGGACUACCCGCUGAACUUAAGCAUAUCAAUAAGCGGAGGA
RNAcentral lists this unclassified non-coding RNA (413 nucleotides) under soil metagenome. Its description in RNAcentral is "partial contains 5.8S ribosomal RNA, internal transcribed spacer 2, and large subunit ribosomal RNA". The stretch from base 1 to 120 matches the Rfam family "5.8S ribosomal RNA", at positions 35 to 154 of the family's 154-position model. The record is from RNAcentral.